UGGCUCAGUGUUUAAGAGCACUGGCUACUCUUCCCAGAGGACCUGGGUUCGAUUCCCAG
This 59-nucleotide transfer RNA is filed under the name Cricetulus griseus (Chinese hamster). Lineage: Eukaryota; Metazoa; Chordata; Mammalia; Rodentia; Cricetidae. The record is from Rfam by way of RNAcentral.